AAAUGUUUCCUGCACUGCUUGCUAUAGAUUACUUUACUUCAUGGCGAAUUACGAUUCAUAACAACUUAAUAUUCAACAAUUUUCGUCAAAUUUUUAAGAGUACCUGGAGAAGCAUUUCGUGUACGUUUGAUAAUUAUUAAGUUAUAAUGAUUAAUAAUGAACAUAUCUCACGGAAAUAACAUUUCGUUCAAUCGGUUAUACAGUUGAGCAAAUAUAAGUUUGCAAAGAUGAAAUGUCGGAAAUGUGCCUAACUUUCAGAGCUGGCGAUACAUGCAACGAUCAAUAACAUUCAACUAAUUUUUUAUUAAUAAAUGACUGAUAGAAUGGCUAGUAGAGAAACAUCAAUUAAUUCGAAAAACUCGGAUGACCACAGUGUCGAGACAUUGGCAGAAGUCUUCAGGUGUUUCAUUUGUAUGGAAAAAUUGACAGAUGCACAUCUUUGUCCUCAUUGCAGUAAAUUAUGUUGUUAUACGUGUAUCAGGAGGUGGUUGACAGAACAACGUUCACAAUGUCCUCAUUGUAGAGCUUCCUUGCUUUUACACGAAUUAGUUAAUUGUAGAUGGGUUGAAGAAGUAACACAGCAGCUUGAUACACUUCAAGCUGUUGGUAUUUCAAACUCUAGGCAUGAUGAUUCCAAUAGAGACAGGUGUACUGUGCAUCGUGAAAAAUUGUCUGUUUAUUGCUGGACUUGUCGUAGAUGCAUAUGUCAUCAAUGUGCUCUUUGGGGUGGUACCCAUUCAGGACAUACUUUCAAGCCACUAGAAGAAGUUUAUGAUCAACAUGUUACACAAAUAAAGGCAGAAGUAGGUCAAUUAAAGAGAAGAUUGAUGGAGUUAAUAAGUCUUGUUCAAGAAGUGGAACGAAAUGUUGAAUCUGUAAGAGCUGCAAAAGAUGAAAGAGUUAGAGAAAUUAGAAAUGCGGUUGAAUUGAUGAUAGCACGUUUAGAUUCUCAGUUAAAAGCUAAAUUGUUAACGUUAAUGGGUCAAAAGAAUUCUUUGACAUUAGAAACAGAACAGCUAGAGGCUUUAUUGCAAGAAGUAGAACAUCAAUUACACACUUGUACUCGUUCCGAACUUAUAAUUAAAAGUACAGAUCUUUCACGGAUGAUACAUCAAGUACGAAAGAAACCGAUGACAAGUUUUGUUACUGCUCCUGUUCCAGCUGAUUUUCAUAGCGAAAUCGUUCCGGGAUAUGAUAGUGCUACAUUUGCAAUGCAAAAUUUUACACAAUUGCAGUUAAAAGCAGAUCCAGUAUAUUCUGCGCCCUUACACGUGAAUGGAUUAUGCUGGAGGUUAAAAGUAUAUCCUGAUGGAAACGGUGUUGUACGCGGAAAUUAUUUAUCUGUUUUUCUAGAACUAAGCGCAGGUUUACCGGAAACAUCGAAGUAUGAAUAUCGGGUUGAAAUGAUUCAUCAAGGAUCUCGAGAUACAAGUAAGAACAUCGUUCGAGAAUUUGCUUCUGAUUUCGAAAUUGGUGAAUGCUGGGGCUACAAUAGAUUUUUCAGAUUAGAUUUACUUGCAACCGAGGGGUAUUUAAAUACUGAACUGGAUACUCUUAUAUUACGAUUUCAAGUACGUCCACCAACAUUCUAUCAGCGUUGCAGAGAUCAACAAUGGUAUAUCAGUCAAUUACUUACAGUCCAGAAUCAAUAUGCUACUCAAAUUAAUGAGUUGAAAGAGAGAUUAGCAAUUGAAAUAUCGCGAAAUGCUAUGGCUGCAACCAGAGUACCUAGUGGAGCAACAUUAUGUGGGUCAACAUCAAAUGUGACAUCUAUAAUGAUGCAGCAACAGUCACAAACUGUUGGUGAUCCAUUACUUAAUUCCAAUUCUACACGUUCAGCUGAAACAUAUCAAAAUGGCACAUCUACAAGUAGAUCAGUACAAAACGUUCUCCCUGGUGGAGGUAACAGUGGUAUUUUAUCAGAUCAAUUACUGCCCUUGUGUGAGUUGGGAGAACCUUCAAAUAUGCGUGCUCUUGGUUCCUCUUCAACGUUGUCUUCUAUUUCGUCCAAAACAAGCUUAAAACAACACAGAAUAAAUAACUUAAGCGUUGUUGAAGCUGAACCGCCCGGUAUGCAUAGUACAAACGAUAGUUCUGUAGGAGAUUGUCCAGCUACGAGUACUCACUCUCCGCCUCCUUCAUAUUCUUCGCCGACAGUACUUAAUCAACAACAACUAAAUCUCUUGUCUAGUAGCAGCAGUAGUGAUAGUGGAGAAUUAAGUGAACAUGAUAUAUAUUUGGAUGAGUGCGAACAUAAUGAACCACAUCUAACCCUUCUAGAUGACAAUUCUAAUGACGAGAAUGAUGUAGAUGAUGAAACAAUGUCAGGAGAAAACGACGUAGAAGUUGCAGAAUCAUUGACACCGUGGAUUCAGAAUAAGCAACGUACAAAGCAGCAGAGUAAUCGAGAGGGUACAGGAGAUAUUCGGAGAUUAGGCGGGAAUGAUAGUUUGGAAGAUGAGAUUAUGUUGCAGCUAUUCAAAAUACAAGAUCGAAAUUCUGCUUGGAGUUCACUAUGCUUUAAUCAACAUGUAGAUGAUAACUGUGAUUCAAGAACGUCAUUAACAGCUUUACAACACCAUAAUUCCAAUCCUUUACAACCAGAACAUGACUCAACAUCUAAUGAUCAAUUUACUGACAAACGUUCCACAUGUCCCUCGCAUCUAUGCCAGCCACAAAUGAUGUGCAGUGGUAGACCAAAAUUAAGUCAAUUAUCUAAUAUCUGUCCGCAAGAAGUUUCCGGAUUAAUUGCUUGCGGAAGUCAGACAAGAUCUGAACCUGCAACUCGCUCAAAUUCAAUAGACUGUGAAAAAGAACUUCCAAAUAUAUCUGUCGCUAAUAAAAUUAAUCACGAGGUAGAAACAUCCAGAUCUGAUUUGAUAGUGCCAAAUGUAUUAUUGGAUAGCAAUAAAAUUAUGUCGAAGCAUUUAUUAUCGCGACGACAAUCUUCACCGUCAUCGUCUGCUAACGUUAAUAUUAUAAAUAAUGAAAAUAACAAAAUAUUUGAAUUCGAACAAUUGCUGGAGACCAUUCAAUUGUCUUCGAUGUUUCAAAAGGACACUGCCAGUUGUUUCAAUAAAUUAAGGAAAAAUAUUCCGUUAGAGGGAAAAUCUAAUGGUUGUGUCACUGCCACUAUCAAAUCUACUGCACUUUCAUUAGGACAUGAUGUUCCAUUAUCGUCUACAAGCAAUGCAGCAACAGAUUCUAUACCGAGUCCCAAUAACUAUAGCUGGGCACCAGCGCUGUAUCAACACAAACACGGUCAGAAGAAUGUUUUAGAGACUACCAUGCCAGCAUCUUCUAAUGAUUCUUCCAAUAAAUGUACCGCGGAAAAAUCGUUAGAAGAAACUAACUCGUGAAAUUCGCUUUGAAUUGCAUCUGUGACACCUAACAUUACAAAUGUUCUGUGAUUUUUUUUAUUUAUCUAAACGUUAUGUUAACUAAUAUUAUUAAAAGUGAUAGAACAAUAGUAAAAACAGUAAGAUUUGGAGACCUGAUAUUUCAAUAUUUUGAUGUGUUUAAAAGGUAUAUAUAAAAAAAAAUAUACUAUGUAUAUAAAAUAUAUCCAAAUCUAAGUAAACUUAGACUCCAAUAUUAAUAUAUUGUAUAGUAUCAAAAUACUCAAUACGUUUAUCUCUGCAGAUGGUUAUGGUGUUACAAGUAUUAUGAGAACAAAUUUUAUAUUAUUUUUAUGUGAUUGCUUGUGAUUAUACAUAAAGCGAGCACAGCCCAUGACAGUGGAAUAAAAUAAAGAAUAUAACUAAUUA
Bombus terrestris (buff-tailed bumblebee) is the source of this 3767-nucleotide RNA transcript. It is a transcript of the gene named E3 ubiquitin-protein ligase TRIM37, with no coding region annotated. NCBI's taxonomy places the organism in Eukaryota, Metazoa, Arthropoda, Insecta, Hymenoptera, Apidae. The record is from RefSeq and is a predicted model, not a curated record. The transcript is spliced from 17 exons.